CGUGUAGGCGGAACUACAAGUCAGAUGUGAAAUACCACGGCUCAACCGUGGAACGGCAUUUGAAACUGUAGAUCUUGAGUAUCGGAGAGGCAAGUGGAAUUUCCAGUGUAGCGGUAAAAUGCGUAGAUAUUGGAAGGAACACCGGUGGCGAAGGCGACUUGCUGGACGAUUACUGACGCUGAUGCGCGAAAGUGUGGGGAGCGAACAGGAUUAGAUACCCUGGUAGUCC
Molecule: ribosomal RNA, 229 nt
Filed under: uncultured bacterium
Lineage: Bacteria
Description: partial 16S ribosomal RNA
Rfam family: Bacterial small subunit ribosomal RNA
Source: RNAcentral